AACCUAGCAUUUAUGAGAUUGUGGAACCACCUUACUCCAUCUCGAACUAAGUAGUGAAAAACAAUUUCGAUGAAAAUACUUUUUGCUUGCGCAAACGGGAAGAGAAUUCUAUGCUAGGUA
RNAcentral lists this ribosomal RNA (120 nucleotides) under Prasinococcus sp. CCMP1194. Lineage: Eukaryota; Viridiplantae; Prasinodermophyta; Palmophyllophyceae; Prasinococcales; Prasinococcaceae. The record is from RNAcentral.